UACGGGGGGGGCAAGCGUUGUUCGGAAUUACUGGGCGUAAAGGGCUCGUAGGCGGCCAACUAAGUCAGACGUGAAAUCCCUCGGCUUAACCGGGGAACUGCGUCCGAUACUGGAUGGCUUGGAUUUGGGAGAGGGAUGCGGAAUUCCAGGUGUAGCGGUGAAAUGCGUAGAUAUCUGGAGGAACACCGGUGGCGAAGGCGGCAUCCUGGACCAACAUUGACGCUGAGGAGCGAAAGCUAGGGGAGCAAACGGG
This 253-nucleotide ribosomal RNA is filed under the name uncultured bacterium. Its description in RNAcentral is "partial 16S ribosomal RNA". It matches the Rfam family "Bacterial small subunit ribosomal RNA", at positions 524 to 776 of the family's 1533-position model. The record is from RNAcentral.